GGUUAAGCGACUAAGCGUACACGGUGGAUGCCUAGGCAAUCAGAGGCGAUGAAGGACGUGCUAAUCUGCGAUAAGCGUCGGUAAGGUGAUAUGAACCGUUACAACCGACGAUUUCCGAAUGGGGAAACCCAGUGCAAUYCGUUGCACUAUCGUUUGAUGAAUACAUAGUCAAACGAAGCGAACCGGGGGAACUGAAACAUCUCAGUACCCCGAGGAAAAGAAAUCAACCGAGAUUCCCCUAGUAGCGGCGAGCGAACGGGGAGCAGCCCAGAGUCUUAAUCAGCAUUAGCAUCAGGAGAACGGUCUGGAAAGUCCGGCAGUAAAGGGUGAUAGCCCCGUAUCCGAAGGUGUUAGUGUUGUGAACUCGA
Molecule: ribosomal RNA, 368 nt
Filed under: Providencia rettgeri
Lineage: Bacteria; Pseudomonadati; Pseudomonadota; Gammaproteobacteria; Enterobacterales; Morganellaceae
Description: partial 23S ribosomal RNA
Source: RNAcentral